CAGUCGCCACGGUAAUACGAAGGGGGCUAGCGUUGUUCGGAAUUACUGGGCGUAAAGCGCACGUAGGCGGAUAUUUAAGUCAGGGGUGAAAUCCCAAAGCUCAACUCUGGAACUGCCUUUGAUACUGGGUAUCUUGAGUAUGGAAGAGGUGAGUGGAAUUCCGAGUGUAGAGGUGAAAUUCGUAGAUAUUCGGAGGAACACCAGUGGCGAAGGCGGCUCACUGGUCCAUUACUGACGCUGAGGUGCGAAAGCGUGGGGAGCAAACAGGAUUAGAUACCCCAGUAGUCCCUGUCUCUUAUAC
This 301-nucleotide ribosomal RNA is filed under the name uncultured bacterium. Its description in RNAcentral is "partial 16S ribosomal RNA". It matches the Rfam family "Bacterial small subunit ribosomal RNA", at positions 509 to 807 of the family's 1533-position model. The record is from RNAcentral.